RNAcentral lists this ribosomal RNA (710 nucleotides) under uncultured Lachnospiraceae bacterium. RNAcentral's name for it is "bacterial SSU rRNA". It matches the Rfam family "Bacterial small subunit ribosomal RNA", at positions 44 to 756 of the family's 1533-position model. The record is from RNAcentral. Lineage: Bacteria; Bacillati; Bacillota; Clostridia; Lachnospirales; Lachnospiraceae.
GUGCCUAACACAUGCAAGUCGAACGAAGCAAUCAAAUGAAGUUUUCGGAUGGAUUUUGAUUGACUGAGUGGCGGACGGGUGAGUAACGCGUGGAUAACCUGCCUCACACUGGGGGAUAACAGUUAGAAAUGACUGCUAAUACCGCAUAAGCGCACAGUAUCGCAUGGUACGGUGUGAAAAACUCCGGUGGUGUGAGAUGGAUCCGCGUCUGAUUAGCCAGUUGGCGGGGUAACGGCCCACCAAAGCGACGAUCAGUAGCCGACCUGAGAGGGUGACCGGCCACAUUGGGACUGAGACACGGCCCAAACUCCUACGGGAGGCAGCAGUGGGGAAUAUUGCACAAUGGGGGAAACCCUGAUGCAGCGACGCCGCGUGAGUGAAGAAGUAUUUCGGUAUGUAAAGCUCUAUCAGCAGGGAAGAUAAUGACGGUACCUGACUAAGAAGCCCCGGCUAACUACGUGCCAGCAGCCGCGGUAAUACGUAGGGGGCAAGCGUUAUCCGGAUUUACUGGGUGUAAAGGGAGCGUAGACGGCAUGGCAAGUCUGAAGUGAAAGCCCGGGGCUCAACCCCGGGACUGCUUUGGAAACUGUCAAGCUAGAGUGCAGGAGAGGUAAGUGGAAUUCCUAGUGUAGCGGUGAAAUGCGUAGAUAUUAGGAGGAACACCAGUGGCGAAGGCGGCUUACUGGACUGUAACUGACGUUGAGGCUCGA